Molecule: ribosomal RNA, 232 nt
Filed under: Bacillus sp. RHF6
Lineage: Bacteria; Bacillati; Bacillota; Bacilli; Caryophanales; Bacillaceae
Description: partial 16S ribosomal RNA
Rfam family: Bacterial small subunit ribosomal RNA
Source: RNAcentral
UACAUGCAAGUCGAGCGGACAGAUGGGAGCUAGCUCCCUGAUGUUAGCGGCGGACGGGUGAGUAACACGUGGGUAACCUGCCUGUAAGACUGGGAUAACUCCGGGAAACCGGGGCUAAUACCGGAUGCUUGUUUGAACCGCAUGGUUCAGACAUAAAAGGUGGCUUCGGCUACCACUUACAGAUGGACCCGCGGCGCAUUAGCUAGUUGGUGAGGUAACGGCUCACCAAGGC